This 284-nucleotide ribosomal RNA is filed under the name uncultured bacterium. RNAcentral's name for it is "partial 16S ribosomal RNA". It matches the Rfam family "Bacterial small subunit ribosomal RNA", at positions 773 to 1060 of the family's 1533-position model. The record is from RNAcentral.
GUGGAUUAGAUACCCUGGUAGUCCACGCUGUAAACGAUGAUUACUCGAUGUUGGCGAUACACUGUCAGCGUCUGAGCGAAAGCAAUAAGUAAUCCACCUGGGGAGUACGAUCGCAAGAUUGAAACUCAAAGGAAUUGACGGGGGCCCGCACAAGCGGAGGAGCAUGUGGUUUAAUUCGAUGAUACGCGAGGAACCUUACCUGGGCUCGAACGUGAGAUGACUGUAGGUGAAAGCUUACAUCUCUUCGGAGCAUUUUACGAGGUGCUGCACGGCUGUCGUCAGCU